Molecule: unclassified non-coding RNA, 253 nt
Filed under: uncultured Rickettsiales bacterium
Lineage: Bacteria; Pseudomonadati; Pseudomonadota; Alphaproteobacteria; Rickettsiales
Description: contains 16S-23S intergenic spacer region
Rfam family: Bacterial small subunit ribosomal RNA
Source: RNAcentral
UACGAAGGGGGCUAGCGUUGUUCGGAAUCACUGGGCGUAAAGCGGGCUCAGGUGGCCUAUCAAGUCAGGGGUGAAAUCCCAGAGCUCAACUCUGGAAUUGCCUCUGAAACUGGUAGGCUUGAGUCUUGGAGGGGAUAGCGGAAUUUCUAAUGUAGCGGUGAAAUGCGUAGAUAUUAGAAGGAACACCGGUGGCGAAGGCGGCUAUCUGGACAAGUACUGACACUGAGGCCCGAAAGCGUGGGGAGCAAACAGG